AUUUUUGGCUAAGACUUUUGCCGUAUAUGUUUGGGAAUAGGGCCCGAACGUUUCUACCCGGCCACCGUAAAUGGCCGGACUACGGCGAAUAGGUCUUCGGGA
This 102-nucleotide non-coding RNA is filed under the name Thermoactinomyces sp. RNAcentral's name for it is "Guanine sequence". It matches the Rfam family "Purine riboswitch aptamer". From Rfam's summary of the family: Riboswitches are metabolite binding domains within certain messenger RNAs that serve as precision sensors for their corresponding targets. Allosteric rearrangement of mRNA structure is mediated by ligand binding, and this results in modulation of gene expression. RNAcentral also lists the same sequence under 1 other name. The record is from RNAcentral. Lineage: Bacteria; Bacillati; Bacillota; Bacilli; Caryophanales; Thermoactinomycetaceae.